Molecule: ribosomal RNA, 253 nt
Filed under: uncultured bacterium
Lineage: Bacteria
Description: partial 16S ribosomal RNA
Rfam family: Bacterial small subunit ribosomal RNA
Source: RNAcentral
UACAGAGGUGGCAAGCGUUGUUCGGAAUUACUGGGCGUAAAGGGCGCGUAGGCGGCCCCAUAAGUCUCGUGUGAAAGCCCUCGGCUUAACUGAGGAUCUGCACGGGAUACUGUAGGGCUCGAGUUCGGGAGAGGAAAGCGGAAUUCCGGGUGUAGCGGUGAAAUGCGUAGAUAUCCGGAGGAACACCAGUGGCGAAGGCGGCUUUCUGGACCGACACUGACGCUGAGGCGCGAAAGCUAGGGGAGCAAACAGG